UAGGGAAUCUUCGGCAAUGGGGGCAACCCUGACCGAGCAACGCCGCGUGAGUGAAGAAGGUUUUCGGAUCGUAAAGCUCUGUUGUAAGAGAAGAACGUGUGUGAGAGUGGAAAGUUCACACAGUGACGGUAACUUACCAGAAAGGGACGGCUAACUACGUGCCAGCAG
RNAcentral lists this ribosomal RNA (168 nucleotides) under uncultured bacterium. RNAcentral describes it as "partial 16S rRNA". It matches the Rfam family "Bacterial small subunit ribosomal RNA", at positions 355 to 514 of the family's 1533-position model. The record is from RNAcentral.